CCCGGUGUCUCAAGCGAUGAGGUCACACCCGACUCCAUUCCGAACUCGGUCGUUAAGCUCAUCUGCGCCGAUGAUACUUGCCUGAAUAGGUGUGGGAAAGUAGGCCGGUGCCGGGU
RNAcentral lists this ribosomal RNA (116 nucleotides) under Patescibacteria group bacterium. The record is from RNAcentral.